Molecule: non-coding RNA, 24 nt
Filed under: Arabidopsis thaliana (thale cress)
Lineage: Eukaryota; Viridiplantae; Streptophyta; Magnoliopsida; Brassicales; Brassicaceae
Source: RNAcentral
AGCGGCUGUGUCGUGGUCGAGUGG